UACCACAGUAGACAGACCUUGAAGGUACC
Molecule: non-coding RNA, 29 nt
Filed under: Homo sapiens (human)
Lineage: Eukaryota; Metazoa; Chordata; Mammalia; Primates; Hominidae
Source: RNAcentral